GAUGAACGCUGGCGGCGUGCCUAAUACAUGCAAGUCGAGCGAACAGACGAGGAGCUUGCUCCUCUGACGUUAGCGGCGGACGGGUGAGUAACACGUGGAUAACCUACCUAUAAGACUGGGAUAACUUCGGGAAACCGGAGCUAAUACCGGAUAAUAUAUUGAACCGCAUGGUUCAAUAGUGAAAGACGGUUUUGCUGUCACUUAUAGAUGGAUCCGCGCCGCAUUAGCUAGUUGGUAAGGUAACGGCUUACCAAGGCAACGAUGCGUAGCCGACCUGAGAGGGUGAUCGGCCACACUGGAACUGAGACACGGUCCAGACUCCUACGGGAGGCAGCAGUAGGGAAUCUUCCGCAAUGGGCGAAAGCUUGACGGAGCAACGCCGCGUGAGUGAUGAAGGUCUUCGGAUCGUAAAACUCUGUUAUUAGGGAAGAACAAAUGUGUAAGUAACUAUGCACGUCUUGACGGUACCUAGUCAGAAAGCCACGGCUAACUACGAG
RNAcentral lists this ribosomal RNA (497 nucleotides) under uncultured bacterium. RNAcentral's name for it is "partial 16S ribosomal RNA". It matches the Rfam family "Bacterial small subunit ribosomal RNA", at positions 28 to 507 of the family's 1533-position model. The record is from RNAcentral.